This 434-nucleotide ribosomal RNA is filed under the name uncultured bacterium. Its description in RNAcentral is "bacterial SSU rRNA". It matches the Rfam family "Bacterial small subunit ribosomal RNA", at positions 27 to 507 of the family's 1533-position model. The record is from RNAcentral.
GAACGAACGCUGGCGGCAUGCCUAACACAUGCAAGUCGAACGAAGGCUUCGGCCUUAGUGGCGCACGGGUGCGUAACGCGUGGGAAUCUGCCCUUGGGUUCGGAAUAACAGUGAGAAAUUACUGCUAAUACCGGAUGAUGACUUCGGUCCAAAGAUUUAUCGCCCAAGGAUGAGCCCGCGUAAGAUUAGCUAGUUGGUGAGGUAAAGGCUCACCAAGGCGACGAUCUUUAGCUGGUCUGAGAGGAUAAUCAGCCACACUGGGACUGAGACACGGCCCAGACUCCUACGGGAGGCAGCAGUGGGGAAUAUUGGACAAUGGGCGAAAGCCUGAUCCAGCAAUGCCGCGUGAGUGAUGAAGGCCUUAGGGUUGUAAAGCUCUUUUACCAGGGAUGAUAAUGACAGUACCUGGAGAAUAAGCUCCGGCUAACUCCGUG